GAACCGUUCUUCUGCUCUACCGGUGGGUAUGGACGAAGGAGAUGAUUCCCGACGGACAUUGAUCCAAAGCUUUUUUUUCACUGCCUAGUUUUACGUCCUGUUGACGCACCUUCCCAGGCCUGUUUUCAAAGUUUCGUCCUGUUGACGACCUGUUACCCCCUGUUUUUUCCUGUUGUUGGGUUGCCGCAAAUAUUGGACCCGUUUAUCCAACUCUACCAUGGGCAACCUACUUGUGAUGUGGACCGGAAACUCCGCAAUGUAGCAGAGAACCCCCCACAGGUCUUGCGGAGUAUCCUUCCCAAGUGGUGUGGAUGUGAAGAGACACGACCGUUCCACUGAUGUACCAUGGCAUGGGUGACCUACUUGUGAUGUGGACCGGAACCUCCGCCAUGUAGCAGACAACCCCCCUCAGGUCUUGCGGAGUAUCCUUCCCAAGUUGCUUGAAUCAUCAUGGAUGAAAAGGGACACGACAGUUCCCCUGCUGUACCAUGGGCGACCUAACACAAUACCACUGCAUCUCAUAUAUUACAUUUUAUUUACUAAUAAUUUAAAGA
Pseudophryne corroboree (corroboree frog) is the source of this 554-nucleotide long non-coding RNA. RefSeq lists it as uncharacterized. The record is from RefSeq and is a predicted model, not a curated record. Lineage: Eukaryota; Metazoa; Chordata; Amphibia; Anura; Myobatrachidae. The transcript is spliced from 4 exons.